ACUCCAAUAAUUGUUGGACUUAUAUUGACUAAAAUAUGCGUAGAUCUACAUGUAUCUAUACUUGGAGAUUCUUAGUACCAGGCGUUUAUUCAAGCCCAGCCUUUAUUUGAACAUUUACGGUACAUACACUAGAACUCAUGAGAACUGUCUGCAUUCUCUCUAUUUCUCUUUAUGGCUGACAUUGAUGAUUCUGUGACCGAGGAGGACAGGUCGUGUUUGUUGGUUUCUUGAUUGGUGGUCUAUUCUGGAGAAUUAUUGCUGACAUCAUUGGACAUAAAAGGGUGCUAUUAAUAGUAACAGUUCUCAUUAUUUUUGUUUGGUCUUGCAAGUGCAGCUGCUCCUAAUUAUGGCAGUUUGUUGUUGUUUCGUUGUCUGGCAGGCUUUGGUAUCGGAGGAACAGCUCAGACAGUUACGCACUACACUGAGUUCUUGCCUAAGAAACUCCGUGGGGCCUGUCUGGUACUGAUAGAGGUCUGGCGGGCUAUAGGGAGCUGUUUGGCAGCAUUGCUAGCACUGGGGGUCAUUCCUAAUGUUCCUGAUCCUAUCGAUGUCUCCAAUGGGGAUUUUGAGAACAUUAACUGGAGGAUCUACAUAGCACUCUGUGCUUUACCAUAGUAAAGUGAAGUUUUUUACCAUACUGUGUUUUUCAUAUUUGUUCCUGAGUCAGCAAGAUUCCAUAUUUCAAAAGGACACAAUCAAAAAGGACAAAGAGUCAUAGAAAGCAUUGCCAGAAUUAACUUGAAACCUCCACCAAAGGGCCGGCUUGUUUCUCAAGAUGAAAAAGAGAUGAUAGAAGAAGAGAAGAAGGCAGCAGCUGAUCCUGAACACACUAACAAUGAGCCAAUACUAGGAGCAGACUAAUACAUGAAAACCUGUAAAGCAAAAUGAAAAGGGAUACCAAAGUGGAUGCUUCUUAUGAGAAUGCAGCUGCUGGAUUAGUAUAAACAUCCUAAAGGAAUAAUAGGAAAAAAAUCCUGAUUCAAGUGAAGUGGAAUAAUGUUAAUGGGCCUUAAUGUACUUUCAGUUAGACCAUAUGCUACAUAAAAUGGCUGUAACUUGAAAAAUUUUAGUCGGAAUCAGUGCAAACUUUCUACACAGCAUAAGGACAU
RNAcentral lists this long non-coding RNA (1109 nucleotides) under Amphimedon queenslandica. RNAcentral's name for it is "uncharacterized LOC109581471, transcript variant X1". Lineage: Eukaryota; Metazoa; Porifera; Demospongiae; Haplosclerida; Niphatidae. The record is from RNAcentral.